UGGAUCACCAGGUGCCAACCGCUGUACUAGAUGAUGUUGACUGGGCAUGUAUUUCAGGGGGAAUUAAUUUUGUUAAUUCUGUUGAUUGUAAUGCUGAUGUUAAUAUGUUGUUUGCAGAGUGGUGGUGAUAUAAUAAUGGAAAUUGUGCCACCAUCAGUUGAAAGUAAUAAUUCAGAGAAAUCUGAGGUAUCAGAUGUUGAAUCUGUAGACCCUUCCAGUCUGGAAGAAGCACUUAGCACACUGGAAGUAACACAACAUUACAUAAGAUCAAAAAAACAUUAGUGAUGACAAGAUAUAUACAGUAGUUACGUAUGAAGAUACGUAACUACUAUACAGUCAUGAUCUAUGAUUGUAAUAUUACAUCCAAAAAACAAAUUACAAUUGAGUCUUUCUUUAUGCCAAAGUAACUAUUUGCUCAUCAUGGUUAAUUAAACUACUUAAU
This 442-nucleotide long non-coding RNA is filed under the name Androctonus crassicauda. The record is from RNAcentral. Lineage: Eukaryota; Metazoa; Arthropoda; Arachnida; Scorpiones; Buthidae.